This 451-nucleotide unclassified non-coding RNA is filed under the name Bifidobacterium longum. RNAcentral describes it as "partial contains 16S ribosomal RNA and 16S-23S ribosomal RNA intergenic spacer". The stretch from base 1 to 58 matches the Rfam family "Bacterial small subunit ribosomal RNA", at positions 1476 to 1533 of the family's 1533-position model. The record is from RNAcentral. Lineage: Bacteria; Bacillati; Actinomycetota; Actinomycetes; Bifidobacteriales; Bifidobacteriaceae.
UUGGGUGAAGUCGUAACAAGGUAGCCGUACCGGAAGGUGCGGCUGGAUCACCUCCUUUCUACGGAGAAUUCAGUCGGAUGUUCGUCCGACGGUGUGCGCCCCGCGCGUCGCAUGGUGCGAUGGCGGCGGGGUUGCUGGUGUGGAAGACGUCGUUGGCUUUGCCCUGCCGGUCGUGCGGUGGGUGCCGGGGUGGUAUGGAUGCGCUUUUGGGCUCCCGGAUCGCCACCCCAGGCUUUUUGCCUGGCGCGAUUCGAUGCCCGUCGUGCCUGGGGGCCGGCCGUGUGCCGGCGCGAUGGCGUGGCGGUGCGUGGUGGCUUGAGAACUGGAUAGUGGACGCGAGCAAAACAAGAGUUUUUGAAUCUUUGUUUUGCUGUUGAUUUCGAAUCGAACUCUAUUGUUCGUUUCGAUCGUUUUGUGAUCAUUUUUAGUGUGAUGAUUUGUCGUCUGGGAA